Molecule: unclassified non-coding RNA, 406 nt
Filed under: soil metagenome
Description: partial contains 5.8S ribosomal RNA, internal transcribed spacer 2, and large subunit ribosomal RNA
Rfam family: 5.8S ribosomal RNA (bases 1-121)
Source: RNAcentral
GAUGAAGAACGUAGCGAAAUGCGAUAAGUAAUGUGAAUUGCAGAAUUCAGUGAAUCAUCGAAUCUUUGAACGCACCUUGCGCCCUUUGGCCAUUCCGAAGGGCAUGCCUGUUUGAGUAUCAUGAACACCUCAACUCUUCAUGGUUUUCCGUGAUGAGCUUGGACUUUGGGGGUCUUGCUGGCCUAUGGUCAGCUCCUCUAAAAUAAAUCAGCUUGCCAGUGUUUGGUGGGUAUCACAGGUGUGAUAACUAUCUACGCUUGUGGUUUUCCACCAGGUAACCUUCAGCAGUGGAGGUUCGCUGGAGCUCACAGAUGUGUCUCUCCUUAGUGAGGACAGCUCUUUGAAUGUUUGAUCUCAAAUCAGGUAGGACUACCCGCUGAACUUAAGCAUAUCAAUAAGCGGAGGA